RNAcentral lists this ribosomal RNA (913 nucleotides) under uncultured archaeon. RNAcentral's name for it is "bacterial SSU rRNA". It matches the Rfam family "Archaeal small subunit ribosomal RNA", at positions 1 to 921 of the family's 1478-position model. The record is from RNAcentral.
UUCCGGUUGAUCCUGCCGGACCCGACUGCUAUCAGAGUGGGAUUAAGCCAUGCGAGUCAACGUAGCAAUACGUGGCGCACGGCUCAGUAACACGUAGUCAACAUGCCCAAAGGACGUGGAUAACCUCGGGAAACUGAGUCUAAACCGCGAUGAGUCAAGAUUCCUGGAAUGGUUCUUGACUGAAAUCUAUAUGGCCUUUGGAUUGGACUGCGGCCGAUCAGGCUGUUGGUGAGGUAAUGGCCCACCAAACCUGUAACCGGUACGGGCUCUGAGAGGAGGAGCCCGGAGAUGGGCACUGAGACAAGGGCCCAGGCCCUAUGGGGCGCAGCAGGCGCGAAACCUCUGCAAUAGGCGAAAGCCUGACAGGGUUACUCUGAGUGAUUUUCGUUAAGAAAGUCUUUUGGCACCUCUAAAAAUGGUGCAGAAUAAGGGGUGGGCAAGUCUGGUGUCAGCCGCCGCGGUAAUACCAGCACCCCGAGUGGUCGGGACGAUUAUUGGGCCUAAAGCAUCCGUAGCCGGUUCUGCAAGUCUCCCGUUAAAUCCAACUGCUCAACAGGUGGGCUGCGGAAGAUACUACAGAGCUAGGAGGCAGGAGAGGCAAGCGGUACUCAGUGGGUAGGGGUAAAAUCCGUUGAUCCAUUGAAGACCACCAGUGGCGAAGGCGGCUUGCCAGAAUGCGCUCGACGGUGAGGGAUGAAAGCUGGGGGAGCAAACCGGAUUAGAUACCCGGGUAGUCCCAGCCGUAAACGAUGCAGACUCGGUGAUGGGUUGGCCUUCGCGCUAACCCAGUGCCGCAGGGAAGCCGUUAAGUCUGCCGCCUGGGUAGUACGGUCGCAAGACUGAAACUUAAAGGAAUUGGCGGGGGGAGCACCACAAGGGGUGAAGCCUGCSGUUCAAUUGGAUUCAACGCCGG